CCGACACUGUUUUGUUGCCAUACAAUUUUGUGAUUUUCUUUUUCAAACAUGUGUGUUUACUGAGAAUACAAAUCACCUAUUCAACAAUGAGAUUUAUAUUUUUAUGCCCUUGUCGGGACUUGAAUUGUAGUCUAUGGCUAUAAUAGAAAUGUGAACAUCUGUGGAUAAUUUAUCCUUUUUUAAGGACCUGCAAACAAUCUUAUCCGACACUGUUUUGUUGCCAUACAAUUUUGUGAUUUCCUUUUUCAAACAUGUGUGUGUUUACUGAGAAUACAAAUCACCUAUUCAACAAUGAGAUUUAAUUUUUCUUGGGUUGAUUUGUUUUGGUAUUUAACAGUUUCAUUAAUUAUUUUACCAUCAUUUAUCCUCUCUUUAAGCAUCCUUGUUUUUCCUUCUCCUGAUUUCUGUGCUCUGCAGAUGAACAACAUUUUAUCAGGAUUCUUCUUGGUGGUUGAGUUGUUUUAAUUCAAAUGUCGUCAUUGAGGAUAAUUAUACUUAAUUCAUGGUUCCUGUAUUUUGCAGC
RNAcentral lists this long non-coding RNA (523 nucleotides) under Carica papaya (papaya). RNAcentral describes it as "long non-coding RNA (CPAP_LNC010564)". Lineage: Eukaryota; Viridiplantae; Streptophyta; Magnoliopsida; Brassicales; Caricaceae. The record is from RNAcentral.